GUCCACGCCAUAAACGAUGGGUACUAGGUGUUCGGGGUAUUGACCCCCUGAGUGCCGCAGCUAACGCAUUAAGUACCCCGCCUGGGGAAUACGGCCGCAAGGUUAAAACUCAAAGGAAUUGACGGGGGCCCGCACAAGCGGUGGAGCAUGUGGUUUAAUUCGACGCAACGCGAAGAACCUUACCUGGGCUAGACAACAUCGGACCGCUCUAGAAAUAGGGCCUUCCCGCAAGGGACCGGUGGUUCAGGUGCUGCAUGGCUGUCGU
RNAcentral lists this ribosomal RNA (265 nucleotides) under uncultured bacterium. RNAcentral describes it as "partial 16S ribosomal RNA". It matches the Rfam family "Bacterial small subunit ribosomal RNA", at positions 793 to 1055 of the family's 1533-position model. The record is from RNAcentral.